GUGUGUGGCCCCGCCCUCUCCUCCCGAAGCUCCGCCCUCUCCUCUCUSCUCCAAUGGGGGCUCAGCCCCGGGGGCUCCCCCGGAACCAUCGGCGCCGCUCUCGAGGGGAUGGGGGCGCUGGUGGCGGCGCUGGGGACAAAAAAAACUGAACUCCUUCGCUCCCUGGUCCCCGACAUCCUCCGUGCUCUAAAGGAACUCAUUGACAUGGACGAGGAUCGCGGCGCCGACGCUCUGGAAGUUCUGGAUGAAUUCCUGGAAGCCAAUCCUGACUCUCUGAU
Malurus melanocephalus (red-backed fairy wren) is the source of this 278-nucleotide long non-coding RNA. RefSeq lists it as uncharacterized. The transcript is spliced from 3 exons. NCBI's taxonomy places the organism in Eukaryota, Metazoa, Chordata, Aves, Passeriformes, Maluridae. The record is from RefSeq and is a predicted model, not a curated record.